AACACAAAAUUCACUCCACCUGGGAGAGUGCCGUCGCGGGUCUGAAUCUCAAAGAAUAUUGACGGGAGGCCCACACAGAGCGGGAGAGCAUGUGGUUUAAUUGGAAGCAACGCGAAGAACCUUACCAGGUCUUGACAUCCCGCUGACCGCUCUGGAGACAGAGCUUCCCUUCGGGGCAGCGGUGACAGGUGGUGCAUGGUUGUCGUCAGCUCGUGUCGUGAGAUGUUGGGUUAAGUCCCGCAACGAGCGCAACCCUUAUCUUUAGUUGCCAGCAUUCAGUUGGGCACUCUAGAGAGACUGCCGUCGACAAGACGGAGGAAGGCGGGGAUGACGUCAAAUCAUCAUGCCCCUUAUGACCUGGGCUACACACGUGCUACAAUGGUUGGUACAACGGGAUGCUACCUCGCGAGAGGAUGCCAAUCUCUUAAAACCAAUCUCAGUUCGGAUUGUAGGCUGCAACUCGCCUACAUGAAGUCGGAAUCGCUAGUAAUCGCGGAUCAGCAUGCCGCGGUGAAUACGUUCCCGGGCCUUGUACACACCGCCCGUCACACCACGGGAGUUUGCAACACCCGAAGUCGGUGAGGUAACCGCAAGGAGCCAGCCGCCGAAGUGGGUAAAAAUAGGGGCG
Molecule: ribosomal RNA, 628 nt
Filed under: Brevibacillus sp. WBQ_13S
Lineage: Bacteria; Bacillati; Bacillota; Bacilli; Caryophanales; Paenibacillaceae
Description: bacterial SSU rRNA
Rfam family: Bacterial small subunit ribosomal RNA
Source: RNAcentral